AAAAAUAACAAGCCACUAUUUGAUCUUAAACCGGCCCACACCAAAUAACCUUGUCCAAAGGCUAAGCGACGAUGAAAAGGAAAUAAACACGAACCCUAGUUUUGCACUCCUCAAGCCGUCGUCGCCCUCACCACCACCGUCGCCGUCCUUCGUUCUCCUCGCCGUCGUCGGCCUUCUUUCUCCUCGCCGCCGUCAGCCUUCUUCGCUUCUUCACCAUCGCCACUUCUUACUUGCGGCGAACGCACGAAAGGGGCAACAGAGCCGCCUGUGGUAAGGCUCGUCCUCCCAUGUUGCCGUAUCCUACUUACUGGCGCCACCUCCUCCUUCCCUACAUCCUCCGGUGAUUAUCCUGCUUAAAAUGGUAGGUGCAAGCACAAAGAAGAAGCAAGAAAUGAGUUGAAUGUCUUUUCGGUGAUGACAAUGACUUUUAUAUCUUGGUCAUUGCAAGGUUUAAUGAAAUCGUCACAAGGCCUUUGAUGGAUGGUGCUUUGGACACAUUCAAUUCAGAGAGGAAGGUGGUGUGCGUUCCUGGUUUUGAGAUUGGUUUAGUAGCUGAAAAGCUUUGAAAGUCAGGUAAGCACCCACUAUAAUGUUGUUGCAAACAUAGCUGCAUCCGUAGUCCUUUCUGAUGGCCUUAAUUCAGGCCUUGAAUUGUGUUGGUGGUAAAGCAUGGAAUAAGGGCUCUGAGGAAGCUUUGACUGAUCUUGAGAUGACAUCUUUGUUUUGAAGAGUAAUAGAUUAAUGUUUUGCAAUACUAUUUCAUCCACAGUGUUCAAAGGAUCUUGAGAAUGCAAAUCCAAUUAUUGCAGAAAAAACUGGAAGAGUUGAAUCUUCAUUUUUUUGGCUUUUUUUGUGUAAUUUUUUUGGAAAUUUGUGCUAAGCUUUUGUUGAGUAGGUGAUGUAUGUCUGCAUAAUAAUUUUUUUUAAGCCAAGUGAAAAAUAAAUUGUCCCCCAA
Molecule: long non-coding RNA, 955 nt
Organism: Lactuca sativa (garden lettuce)
Lineage: Eukaryota; Viridiplantae; Streptophyta; Magnoliopsida; Asterales; Asteraceae
Source: RefSeq, a predicted model, not a curated record